This 358-nucleotide long non-coding RNA is filed under the name Rosa chinensis. RNAcentral describes it as "sRNA RchiOBHm_Chr5g0071391". The record is from RNAcentral. Lineage: Eukaryota; Viridiplantae; Streptophyta; Magnoliopsida; Rosales; Rosaceae.
CGCCUCGCCGAUUAGCAGACAAAGAACUCGGAGCCUCCACCAUCGAGAAAUGGAGGCUCGCGUUCAGCGUGUCCUGCGCGGCGGAUAUCGGCACCGUCGGAGAAGAUGUUGUCUGAACAGAAAUUGAGUUCGGGUUCCACGGCGGCAGCUCGUCGAGCUAGUCGAUUGCGGCCUUGGCUUUCUUGAUGAGCCAAUCGACGGCCUUGCUGGGCCGGUCGUAUCCGAGCCGGUCUUGCACGUCGUAGAAUUGAAUGGCGGUGUAGGCGGCGAGCCGGACUCGAUGGUCCCUAGGGCCUUGGGUGGUGCAGACCUUGCUGUGGCGGUCCUUCCGGCCGGUGGCCCUUAGAAUAUGGCCUCG